RNAcentral lists this ribosomal RNA (400 nucleotides) under uncultured bacterium. RNAcentral describes it as "bacterial SSU rRNA". It matches the Rfam family "Bacterial small subunit ribosomal RNA", at positions 355 to 747 of the family's 1533-position model. The record is from RNAcentral.
UGGGGAAUUUUGGACAAUGGGGGCAACCCUGAUCCAGCCAUGCCGCGUGCAGGAUGAAGGCCUUCGGGUUGUAAACUGCUUUUGUACGGAACGAAAAGCUCUCCUCUAAUAAAGGGGGGUCAUGACGGUACCGUAAGAAUAAGCACCGGCUAACUACGUGCCAGCAGCCGCGGUAAUACGUAGGGUGCAAGCGUUAAUCGGAAUUACUGGGCGUAAAGCGUGCGCAGGCGGUUUUGUAAGACAGAGGUGAAAUCCCCGGGCUCAACCUGGGAACUGCCUUUGUGACUGCAAGGCUGGAGUGCGGCAGAGGGGGAUGGAAUUCCGCGUGUAGCAGUGAAAUGCGUAGAUAUGCGGAGGAACACCGAUGGCGAAGGCAAUCCCCUGGGCCUGCACUGACGCU